RNAcentral lists this long non-coding RNA (671 nucleotides) under Phoenix dactylifera (date palm). RNAcentral's name for it is "long non-coding RNA (PDAC_LNC001689)". The record is from RNAcentral. Lineage: Eukaryota; Viridiplantae; Streptophyta; Magnoliopsida; Arecales; Arecaceae.
UCCCAAAAUACCUUCUUCUAGCCCUUCUCGUAGGAGUGGUGGCUCUCACCACUCCCUCCGACGCUGGCCACAAGCCCCCGGAGACGAAGCCACCAACUCCUAUCCACAAACCUCCAACCGGACACAAACCCCCAACUCUUGCCGACGAGAAGAAGACGUCUGUGGACCAGCACAAGCCUCCUGCUCCUGGUGGCAAGCAUCCUGGUCCUCCUGGACACAAGCCGCCUUCCCUCUCCGAUGCCAAGGAUACUAGCCACAUCCCGGAGCCUAAGCCCAAACCAUAUGGGAAGCCACCGGUGCAUGUGAAGCCGCCGGGACCUUACAAGCCACCUCACAAGCCACCUCACAAGCCACCGUCCGCUGACCACCUGAACUAGAGAGGGCUGCUGUGCUGCAGCUCGACGCAUGGGGGUUGGAUAUCCAAAUAAGAGGCUUCCUUAGACGUUAUAUAAAAUACACACGCGGCAUGUGUCAUAAUUUAACGUUAUGCUUUUAUCUGUAUGCAUGACAUGAUUUCCUGCUACUAGCUAGAGAGGCCUCGAUCGCCAUGUGUACUGCUAUGUAUCUGGCUUUGCUAGUACAAUGAGAAACUUUGACAAGCCAAUAUCUUACUGGAAAAUACGUAAGUAGUGCUAAAUUAUCUUCUUGCCAAUGACUGGAGCUCUGGGCUA